CUAAGACCGGAUAACUGGUUUUCUCGCAUGAGAGAAUCAUGAAACACGGAGCAAUCUGUGGCUUAUAGAUGGGCCUGCGGCGCAUUAGCUAGUUGGUAGGGUAACGGCCUACCAAGGCGACGAUGCGUAGCCGACCUGAGAGGGUGAACGGCCACACUGGGACUGAGACACGGCCCAGACUCCUACGGGAGGCAGCAGUAGGGAAUCUUCCGCAAUGGACGCAAGUCUGACGGAGCAACGCCGCGUGAGUGAUGAAGGUUUUCGGAUCGUAAAGCUCUGUUGCCCUAGACGAACAGCAAGGCGAGUAACUGCGCUUUGUGUGACGGUAUAGGAGAAGAAAGCCCCGGCUAACUACGUGCCAGCAGCCGCGGUAAUACGUAGGGGGCAAGCGUUGUCCGGAAUUAUUGGGCGUAAAGCGCGCGCAGGCGGUUAAUUAAGUUGGGUGUUUAAGCCCGGGGCUCAACCCCGGUUCGCAUCCAAAACUGGUUGACUUGAGUGUAGGAGAGGAAAGUGGAAUUCCACGUG
Molecule: ribosomal RNA, 525 nt
Filed under: Paenibacillus sp.
Lineage: Bacteria; Bacillati; Bacillota; Bacilli; Caryophanales; Paenibacillaceae
Description: bacterial SSU rRNA
Rfam family: Bacterial small subunit ribosomal RNA
Source: RNAcentral